UGAGGAAUAUUGGGCAAUGCCCGCAAGGGUGACCCAGCAACGCCGCGUGGAGGAUGAAUGUCGUAAGAUUGUAAACUCCUGUUAGAGGGGAAGAAUAGUACCGGUUGGACCGGUAUAUGACUGUACCCUCAGAGAAAGCCCCGGCUAACUACGUGCCAGCAGCCGCGGUAAUACGUAGGGGGCAAGCGUUGUCCGGAUUUACUGGGUGUAAAGGGCGCGCAGGCGGGAUAAAAAGUCAGUGGUGAAAUCCUACAGCUUAACUGUAGAACUGCCUUUGAUACUUUUAUUCUUGAGUUCGGGAGAGAGAGACGGAAUUCCAGGUGUAGUGGUGAAAUACGUAGAUAUCUGGAAGAACACCAGUUGUGAAGGCGGUCUCUUGGUCCGACACUGACGCUGAGGCGCGAAAGCGUGGGGAGCAAACA
Molecule: ribosomal RNA, 422 nt
Filed under: uncultured bacterium
Lineage: Bacteria
Description: bacterial SSU rRNA
Rfam family: Bacterial small subunit ribosomal RNA
Source: RNAcentral